CUUCGGGGCUCAGGGGGGGCCGGAAGAAAAACAACAAAAAAGCGGAAUCCGGGGGUUUUUCCCCCCAAAAAAACCUCCCCACCCCAAGCCGGGAUGGAGUCGGGGGGAUCCAAAACGCUGCCGGACCCGGCCGACGCGAUGACGUCAGACGACUUCGACAUCGUCAUCGAGGCCAUGCUCGAGGCUCCCUACAAGAAGGAGGAGGCCCAGCCCGGCCCCUCCAAGGCCCAACCGGAGCCGCCCCCGGCCCAGGUG
Molecule: long non-coding RNA, 255 nt
Organism: Catharus ustulatus (Swainson's thrush)
Lineage: Eukaryota; Metazoa; Chordata; Aves; Passeriformes; Turdidae
Exons: 4
Source: RefSeq, a predicted model, not a curated record